AUCAACUUUCGAUGGUAGGAUAGAGGCCUACCAUGGUGGUAACGGGUAACGGGGUGUUAGGGCACGACACCGGAGAGGGAGCCUGAGAAACGGCUACCACAUCCAAGGAUGGCAGCAGGCGCGCAAAUUACCCAAUCCCGACACGGGGAGGUAGUGACAAUAAAUAACAAUACGGGGUUCUUUUGGAUCUCGUAAUUGGAAUGAGUACAAUUUAAAUCUCUUAACGAGGAACAAUUGGAGGGCAAGUCUGGUGCCAGCAGCCGCGGUAAUUCCAGCUCCAAUAGCGUAUAUUAAAGUUGUUGCAGUUAAAAAGCUCGUAGUUGAAUUUCAAGACCGGCUUAUUGGUCGUGCUUUUGUACGUACUGGUAUAAUCGGUUUCUCCUUUCUGACGAACUAUAAUGCCAUUAAUUUGGUGUUAUAGGGAAUCAGGACUGUUACUUUGAAAAAAUUAGAGUGUUUAAAGCAGGCUCACGCUUGAAUACAUUAGCAUGGAAUAACGGAAUAGGACGUUUGAUUCUAUUUUGUUGGUUUCUAGGAUCGACGUAAUGAUUAAUAGGGAUAGUUGGGGGCAUUAGUAUUCAAUUGUCAGAGGUGAAAUUCUUGGAUUUAUUGAAGACUAACUACUGCGAAAGCAUUUGCCAAGGAUGUUUUCAUUAAUCAAGAACGAAAGUUAGGGGAUCGAAGACGAUCAGAUACCGUCGUAGUCUUAACCAUAAACUAUGCCGACUAGGGAUCGGAUGAUGUUAAUUUUUUAAUGACUCAUUCGGCGCCUUACGGGAAACCAAAGUGUUUGGGUUC
RNAcentral lists this ribosomal RNA (798 nucleotides) under uncultured Glomus. RNAcentral's name for it is "SSU rRNA". It matches the Rfam family "Eukaryotic small subunit ribosomal RNA", at positions 314 to 1114 of the family's 1831-position model. The record is from RNAcentral. Lineage: Eukaryota; Fungi; Glomeromycota; Glomeromycetes; Glomerales; Glomeraceae.